RNAcentral lists this ribosomal RNA (303 nucleotides) under uncultured bacterium. RNAcentral describes it as "partial 16S ribosomal RNA". It matches the Rfam family "Bacterial small subunit ribosomal RNA", at positions 507 to 807 of the family's 1533-position model. The record is from RNAcentral.
AGCAGUCGCCGCGGUAAUACGUAGGGUGCAAGCGUUAAUCGGAAUUACUGGGCGUAAAGCGUGCGCAGGCGGUUUGUUAAGACAGAUGUGAAAUCCCCGGGCUCAACCUGGGAACUGCAUUUGUGACUGGCAAGCUAGAGUCUGGCAGAGGGGGGUGGAAUUCCGCGUGUAGCAGUGAAAUGCGUAGAUAUGCGGAGGAACACCGAUGGCGAAGGCAGCCCCCUGGGCCAACACUGACGCUCAUGCACGAAAGCGUGGGGAGCAAACAGGAUUAGAUACCCCAGUAGUCCCUGUCUCUUAUAC